Molecule: transfer RNA, 73 nt
Filed under: Pangasius djambal
Lineage: Eukaryota; Metazoa; Chordata; Actinopteri; Siluriformes; Pangasiidae
Description: tRNA-Ala
Rfam family: tRNA
About the family: Transfer RNA (tRNA) molecules are approximately 80 nucleotides in length. Their secondary structure includes four short double-helical elements and three loops (D, anti-codon, and T loops).
Source: RNAcentral
GGGGAUGUAGCUCAGUGGUAGAGCGCAUGCUUUGCAUGUAUGAGGGCCCUGGGUUCAAUCCCCGGCAUCUCCA